UACGUAGGGUGCGAGCGUUGUCCGGAAUUAUUGGGCGUAAAGAGCUUGUAGGCGGUUUGUCGCGUCUGCCGUGAAAUUUCGAGGCUCAACCUCGAACUUGCGGUGGGUACGGGCAGACUAGAGUGUGGUAGGGGAGACUGGAAUUCCUGGUGUAGCGGUGAAAUGCGCAGAUAUCAGGAGGAACACCGAUGGCGAAGGCAGGUCUCUGGGCCACUACUGACGCUGAGGAGCGAAAGCGUGGGGAGCGAACAGG
Molecule: ribosomal RNA, 253 nt
Filed under: uncultured bacterium
Lineage: Bacteria
Description: partial 16S ribosomal RNA
Rfam family: Bacterial small subunit ribosomal RNA
Source: RNAcentral